UGGUAAUUGAUGUCAAAUAACUUUAAGCAAAGAAACUGAACUAUGAAUACUCACAAUUGGAUUUCUAAUCUGCAAUCAUAACCAGUACAGACUUGGCUAUAUAUAGCCUUACAAUGACUAAAAAGAACACACGAAAUCUGAAUAAAUCACAAGAAAUUAGGACUCCCUAAGGAAUAGAACUUCCCUAAAGAAUAGGUCCAUUAUCUAACAGAAAUUAUUUCAACAGAACAUAAAGACUAAAACUUCCUAACAAUUGAGAUCCAUUGUAAUUUGCCUUCAAAUUCAAUUCGCUCCUGAUUUCUAAGCAGGUAGAAUCAAACACGAAAUUCCCUUAUUCAAAUGCUUGAUAUAACAAACCAACAAUA
RNAcentral lists this unclassified non-coding RNA (365 nucleotides) under Hevea brasiliensis (rubber tree). Lineage: Eukaryota; Viridiplantae; Streptophyta; Magnoliopsida; Malpighiales; Euphorbiaceae. The record is from RNAcentral.